CUGAAGUCUCAAAACAGUUGAAAUAUAAUAAUUUGUAUGGCCAGGAAAAACGGUCCUAUUCUUAAGUCUUAGAGACAGGAAGGAGUAUAAAUAAAAUAUACGUACCGUGCUUGAGGCAUGUUUCCUUGUUUGGCGUGGAAGGUUUGUAAAUAAUAAAUAAAUAAAUAAAUAAAUAAAUAAUAAUUUUUAUUACAGGAAGCUCUCUCACCUACCGGUUAUGGGUCAAUUUAUGGACGUUUAGAUGGUUUCAGUUAGCUUCACUAUUUUGUCCUCUGGAUAUCCUUUCCAAAGUUUGGGUACUGAGUGAUCCCAGCCUAACGAGUCCACUGAAGGGAAAGGUCUCCAAAUGCUCUAAUCGCCUCGAAAUUCCACAUACAUCACGGAAGAUAGUCUUCCUUCACGUUCCUAUUCUUCAUCCGUUCAUCCGCGGUCGGUUUAGUUACACUGACAUGGAAUAGAAAGCUGCCAUCUUCGGGAAAGGCUUUUCACUGAGAGCCGUCCGAUGUGAAGCCUUAACUGUCAAUCAUCUCCCACCUUCCGCCUAAUCCUUAGACAGGGUAUAAUUUAUAUUAACUAAAAUUCCAGUGCGUAAAUUUCCAGCGAAACGAAAAACAAAUUAUCUGCUUGAUACUUAACUUCCAAUGUUACCAAAACAAAAUAAAGUUGACCUGUUCAGGCCAUUCUUAGUUUUUGUUUUUUUGUUUGAACAGGGUGCCAUGUUUUGGGUUUGCAUUUCCUCUUGGUUUGGGCCUUAAAUAGGGUAUCAAUUUUCAAUUGGAUCGUCUUCAAAUAGGGUCGGGGUUUAGUCAACCUCGUUCUUAGGGCUUUGGGUUGAGGUUCAGUAAAACUUUUCGCGGCACCUACUCCAAAUAUACGGAAGUACCCUCCUCCCUCGCCCAUUGUUAUUGCGUUGUUGUAUAGUAACGGCUGCUUGUCAAUCGCAUCAGCUAAACACGUAGUGAAAUUUCCAAAUAAAGAAAACACUCAAUGAAAAGUGAUGUUACAGCGCGGUGAACUCACGCCUUCAUGUUUUUUCCAAGAAAGUUCUAGAAAGGUUGGUCUUUCAAUAUAGAUUAUGCUUUUGCCACGUCAAUACAGAGCUAAAUCACAACUUGUAACUAGUUUUACUAACGAACCUAAAAUAUUGACUACAGGUACUUUCUUAAACAUUACAUCAACAACGGUUCAAUCGCUAAACGGCCGAUAUUUAAUCAGUAAAUUUAAAUCCUUGUCUAGCACUCGCCAGCUCUUCAGCCAGGAGGCGGGUUACCAGUCAAGAUUUGCACAUGGUGAAGGAGACCAGUAUUAGAGCCUGAACGAAGUCAGUGCUCUGGAAAAACUAUGGUACAUGCAUUACAGGAUAGCAGACCUGUCCACGAAAAUGAACUUCAACCUGGAGACAAGGCAUCUUGUAACAUCUGUGGAGGUAGCGUGGCCGAGUGGUUAGGGCGCCGGACUUGAAAUCCGGAGGUCGCGGGCUCAAGUCUCGCUCUGACCACUAUUAAAGCUGGAGUUGCUUUCCGACAGACCCUAGUUCAACUCCUCUGUUAUGCUUGUAAAUAGCCAAAUGGAGUGCCUCCCACCUGUUGGGAUUUUUAAGCCUGUUAUGGUUAAGCUAAAAUGCAUAAGAUCAUUUACCGGCCCAAAUGUUGCUCGUUAGAGACUUAAGUCAGUUGAACAGAUUUAUGGAUAAAAAAGAAAGUUUUGGAAAAAAAUGUGCUUUUCCUUAAGUGGCAUGCCUGAGAACUGUAGGUAGUUGUAGCUAAGCGCAUCGAGCACUACAAACAUUCAACAUCUUUUUUUAAUAUUUUUAACAGCAAGAAUAGUAAAUUUUGAUACAAAGAAUGCAAAUGUAUAAACUAAUUAACAUACAUUCCGAUAACUAUUGCUAUUUAUACUUAAUGUUUGAUACAUGUACUGUAGUUUGGAAUGAGAAUGCUGUUGAAGAAAGAGUAGAGCUUCAAAAACUAUUCGUGACAGCCUAGAUGUGUAAUUACUACAUUAGCCCUUACAGCCAGGUAAAAAAA
RNAcentral lists this long non-coding RNA (2027 nucleotides) under Orbicella faveolata. Its description in RNAcentral is "uncharacterized LOC110044593". The stretch from base 1426 to 1498 matches the Rfam family "tRNA". The record is from RNAcentral. Lineage: Eukaryota; Metazoa; Cnidaria; Anthozoa; Scleractinia; Merulinidae.